This 474-nucleotide ribosomal RNA is filed under the name uncultured bacterium. Its description in RNAcentral is "bacterial SSU rRNA". It matches the Rfam family "Bacterial small subunit ribosomal RNA", at positions 28 to 507 of the family's 1533-position model. The record is from RNAcentral.
GAUGAACGCUGGCGGCGUGCCUAACACAUGCAAGUCGAGCGGAAAUAUUCAGAAGUAUACGUACGGAUGGAUAUUUUAGCGGCGGACGGGUGAGUAACACGUGAGCAACCUACCUUUUGCUGGGGAAUAACAUCGGGAAAUCGGUGCUAAUACCGCAUGACAUUAGAGCUUCGCAUGGAGCUUUAAUCAAAGGAGUAAUCCGCUUUAGGAUGGGCCCGCGUCUGAUUAGCUAGUUGGUGAGGUAGAGGCUCACCAAGGCGACGAUCAGUAGCCGAUCUGAGAGGAUGACCGGCCACACUGGAACUGAGACACGGUCCAGACUCCUACGGGAGGCAGCAGUGGGGAAUAUUGCACAAUGGGGGAAACCCUGAUGCAGCAACGCCGCGUGGAGGAAGAAGGUUUUCGGAUUGUAAACUCCUGUCUUUUGGGACGAUAAUGACGGUACCAAAAGAGGAAGCCACGGCUAACUACGUG